Molecule: long non-coding RNA, 902 nt
Organism: Triplophysa dalaica
Lineage: Eukaryota; Metazoa; Chordata; Actinopteri; Cypriniformes; Nemacheilidae
Exons: 2
Source: RefSeq, a predicted model, not a curated record
AGUUUACACAGUUCCUUAUACUAAAAUAUAAAAUAAGAACCAACUUGUUGUUCUUAUACUGUUCUGGGUUUUGAAACGUUCUUGCAUUAUAAUCUUGUAAUUUAUUGUCGUGAUAGCACACGGUCUGUCUGAUGUGGAAAAUGUUGAAAGGCCACAUGCAGCAUCGAUAAAGUGUAAAGCAUAAUUUAAGAUAGGCGUUUGGCUAUUUCAAUGCUCGAGGUAGAUGCGAUGGUUUAUUACAGCAAAUAGCAAACAAUAGCAAAUAGCAAACAAUUACUAAAUCUUACUAAAACUUACAACAACACAUGAGCUCAUAUAUGUAAAUAAAACGUUUAUUUGUUAAAAAGCAGCAAAAAGUAAGUAAUGAAAUAAGAACAAAAAAUAAUUAGAACAGAGACAAAUGAUGUAAACAGUAUGUUAUAUCUAGAUCUGAAAGUUAUUUAAGCGUUCAUUAGUUGAACUUUAUAUUCACUGUUAUUAAAUGUACAGACUGCUAUAAACGGAGGCAGUCACUGUUGUGCUUAACAUAUGUCUUUUGAGUGUUGUUGAAUUCUUAUAAUUUCUGACUGUGAUUGAAUGUAAAAAACAUUAUUGUUCUUAUCUAAUCUUUAAUGGUUUCAGGUUGUGUCUGAACAUCCCCUUUAUCAGAGUGUUCUGGUGCACUUGCUUUGCAUGCCGUGCUUUUCCUGUACCACUGUAGGUCUUUUUUUUUCUGUGAGACCCAGCUGAAGAUAUCAAGAGCUCAGAUGUUGGCCUACAGUUCAUUACACUGACUUCUUUGAUGUUCCCUGAAAGACUGACUACUACCAUUUCAUUAAGCUAAACCGAGAACCUGUGACAGUUUGUGGAGUUUGAAUUUAAAGUCACACAUGUCUAUCAAUAAAUUGAAUGUUUUGUCAUGA